RNAcentral lists this ribosomal RNA (492 nucleotides) under uncultured bacterium. Its description in RNAcentral is "partial 16S ribosomal RNA". It matches the Rfam family "Bacterial small subunit ribosomal RNA", at positions 29 to 507 of the family's 1533-position model. The record is from RNAcentral.
AGUGAACGCUGGCGGUAGGCCUAACACAUGCAAGUCGAACGGCAGCACAGUAAGAGCUUGCUCUUACGGGUGGCGAGUGGCGGACGGGUGAGGAAUACAUCGGAAUCUACUUUUUCGUGGGGGAUAACGUAGGGAAACUUACGCUAAUACCGCAUACGACCUACGCGUGAAAGCAGGGGAUCUUCUGACCUUGCGCGAUUGAAUUAGCCGAUGUCGGAUUAGCUAGUUGGCGGGGUAAAGGCCCACCAAGGCGACGAUCCGUAGCUGGUCUGAGAGGAUGAUCAGCCACACUGGAACUGAGACACGGUCCAGACUCCUACGGGAGGCAGCAGUGGGGAAUAUUGGACAAUGGGCGCAAGCCUGAUCCAGCCAUACCGCGUGGGUGAAGAAGGCCUUCGGGUUGUAAAGCCCUUUUGUUGGGAAAGAAAAGCAGCAGGUUAAUACCCCGCUGUUCUGACGGUACCCAAAGAAUAAGCACCGGCUAACUUCGUG